CAAUUCCCAAUGUCCUCUGAAACCUUGAAUACUCCUUUCUGCCUUACACACUUCUUCUCACACAGGUCUGCAGUAUUCCCUCCAAAAUGGCCCAGCAAGCUUUGAUUACAGCUUCAAAGUGUUGCUCUGCUAGCUGCCCCCCCUCCCCAUUCUUCCAGUCCCUCCAUAAACCAGACCUCAAGGCCUGUGGACCAGAUGUUCAGGUUUCUCACAGGGAGUGGCCCACUCCCAGGACUAAUUAUCCAUAUUAGUGCAAGUUUUCACUGCUUUGAGACAAUAUCGACACCAAGCGAUUUACGGGAGGAAAAGACUUUUGUUUUGUUUCCACAGAUUGAGGAGAAUGAAGUUCAUCAUGUCAGGGAAGCCGUGGCAAUGGGCGGCUCUGCUGGGCUUGCGUGUCUGUCAGAGAGGAGGGAGAUUUGGGCUGAGACCAGCGAUAGAUUGGUCGAGCGCGGGAAGAAAAGGAAGAGGAGCGAAUUAAAUAGGAGCGCCG
RNAcentral lists this long non-coding RNA (493 nucleotides) under Rattus norvegicus (Norway rat). RNAcentral's name for it is "long non-coding RNA NONRATT033715". The record is from RNAcentral. Lineage: Eukaryota; Metazoa; Chordata; Mammalia; Rodentia; Muridae.